UCCUGGUUUCCCAGGCAGUCCCAUCAGAGUGCUCUACAAGUAGAUAGCAACUGAUGGCAAGGGUUGCGCUCGUUAGAGGACUUAACCUAACAUCUCACGACACGAGCUGACGACAGCCAUGCAGCACCUGUGCAUCUGUCUAAACCGAAGUCUAAAAAACCAUAUCUCUAUGGCGAUCAGAGCAUGUCAAGUCCAGGUAAGGUUCCUCGCGUAGUGUCGAAUUAAACCACAUGUUCCACCGCUUGUGCGGACCCCCGUCAAUUCCUUUGAGUUUUAAUCUUGCGAUCGUAGUCCCCAGGCGAAUCACUUAACGCGUUAGCUACGACACUAAUCCAGCUUGGCUGAACUAACGUCUAGUGAUUAGCGUUUACAGCGUGGACUAC
RNAcentral lists this unclassified non-coding RNA (383 nucleotides) under uncultured bacterium. Its description in RNAcentral is "contains 16S-23S intergenic spacer region". The record is from RNAcentral.